RNAcentral lists this ribosomal RNA (447 nucleotides) under Triticum aestivum (bread wheat). Its description in RNAcentral is "partial small subunit ribosomal RNA". Lineage: Eukaryota; Viridiplantae; Streptophyta; Magnoliopsida; Poales; Poaceae. The record is from RNAcentral.
AUGGGCCAAGAACAGAGCCAGCCCGACCCGGCGGUGGGGGAGCCUUCUCCGCCGGCCGCCGACCCCGCGCCGGCGCAGUCUCCUGCCCCAGCGCCCUCCUCCCUCGAGGAGCUCGCCGCAGAAGCUAUGUCGUUUAGUGAGGAUGAUGAGUCAAUUGACGUUAAGGUGCAGAAAGCUCUGGAUUGUCCGUGCGUGGCUGAUUUGAAAACUGGACCUUGUGGCAAUGGAUUUAUUGAUGCAUUUUCCUGCUUCCUGAGGAGCACAGAAGUAGAGAAGGGAUCAGACUGCGUGCAGCCCUUCAUCGCGCUGCAGAACUGCAUCAAAGAGAAUCCAGCGGCAUUCUCUAAGGAGAUUUUGGAAGAGGAGGAGAAGGACGAGGAGGCUGAGAAGUCCAACCUGAAAGUUAGAGCUCCGGCAUGGUCUAGAGAAUCCAAACCAAAGCUUUGA